AGGUCCCUGGUGACGGAGCAGCUUGGCUGGAGUGCCUGGUGCCCCAAGAGGUGUCUCCUCAGCUCCUGGCCCUUUAGGUCCUUCAGACAUCCCACCUGAGAGGGAGCCGCGUCCUCUCCAGCCAUGUCCCCCUCCUGGCGAUCAUGGCCUGACCGCCGCCCACCUUCACGCUGCUGUCUGCCUCCCAGCUCCAGCCCAGGCUCCGGAUGCGACCUUCAUCUUGCCUCUUGUUCCUUCCUCCAGGUUUGGUGCCCUUCUGAAAUCUCCAGGUUGACUGGGCCUUGACUGCCUCCUUCCAGACCUUCUGGCCUCACCCGCCCACAGUGAGAGCUCUCUGUGACACUCUGAGCUCCGAAGAAUCCAACCUGCCCGAGGGUGGGCAGGAUUCAGCCAUGAGUGAAAGAGAACUGGGGGAGGAAGCUUGGAGCUGCGGCAGGAGCUCGAGGGAGAUGUGGGUGGAGACAGAACGGCUGUUUUAAGGUACCAUAUAAUACUCCGUAGCACGGGCAGAACUGAAUCGAUGGUGGGGCACUGAGGCAAUUUCCAGUUCUUCACUAUCAUGACAUUGCUAUGCCAAACAUCCUUGUCAAUGAAUCUUUGCCAUCUAGUUCCCCAGAAAACGAUCUAGCUUUUUGAAGGGUGUGCACAUUUUAAAGUCAUUUGCUUGAUUUUGCCAAACUGGCCUCCAGAGGGACUACUGACCGCAUCUCAUGAGCAGGGAAGCAUAUGCCUGUUUCCUCACAUCCUGCCAACACUGGGCAGCACUGUCCUUUCGGAUUGAUUCUGGUCUGCCAGGCAAGGAACUCUACGUCAUUGUCAGGGCUGGUUUCGUGAGCCGUUUUACGCAGGCUUUGUCCAUUCCUCCAUCUGACCAGGCAGCCUGCGGGAGCUGGCUUCAUCUGACCUUCUGCUUUGAAGCAGCGCACACAGGAUGUUUAAUGAAUAGCCGCAGGCAGUGAAGGAAGAGGAUCCCCAGAGCCUGGGACAUCAGCUUUCAGUAGAGUGCAAGCAGUUGCAGGAGCCCUGAACAGAAGUGGGGAUGGCAUGCUGCUCUUCCCAAAGCUGCCUGAGCUGCCCCAAUGGCGCCACCUCCCAAGGUGGAUGUUCCUCCAAGAACCUCCUCUUCCCCUUGGCUCUGUUUCAGGUGGUCUGCCUUAGUAUUCACUUUCAUUUUUCAUGGUUAGGCCCAGCUCUUCCUUACAUUUGCAGUGCAUCCCAUGAAGUCUUGAACGCUGAGGCAGGGGCUGCGGGUGUACUGCAUGAGUGUCAGCAGGAGUUCUCGCUUUGUGCUUAACCAGUCAGUCGAGCAGACAAAGAGUGUGACAGCCCUUCGUACACCAAUCUGCCCUUCUUCCUGGGGUCAGUCUGGGCACAGAGCCCAGUGGGGCAGCCACCAGUGAAGGCAGCCAGUAAGCUCUGUGGCCGCCGCGGGAAGCACAGUGGAGCAGCAGCUCACUGAAGACCCACAGUGAGUACAACGCGGCAGGAAAAAAGAAUUAGGAGCCCUUUACAACCCAAUCAGGGAUGACGGCCAGAACACACCCUGAAGAGCAAAGAAGGUGCGGAAACGGCGGGUACGUGCACACGCAGACAGAGGCUGGCGGCCAGCCAGGUGGCUCUGGCUCAGGGGAAGAAGCGCAUUUUCAACAUCAAAUUUGAAAGGAGUACUUUCAAAAAGGUACUCCUUGGUACCUUACGAAUUUUGUUUUAUUUGAAUGCUUUUAUCUAUUUAGAAAAAUAAAA
Long non-coding RNA from Homo sapiens (human), 1743 nucleotides. The record is from Ensembl. Lineage: Eukaryota; Metazoa; Chordata; Mammalia; Primates; Hominidae.